GGGAAUAUAACUUAGUCAUAGAGCACUUGCCUAGCAACCAUGAAGCUCUGGGUUCAAUUCUCAGUAUUGCCA
RNAcentral lists this transfer RNA (72 nucleotides) under Neotoma lepida (desert woodrat). It matches the Rfam family "tRNA". From Rfam's summary of the family: Transfer RNA (tRNA) molecules are approximately 80 nucleotides in length. Their secondary structure includes four short double-helical elements and three loops (D, anti-codon, and T loops). Lineage: Eukaryota; Metazoa; Chordata; Mammalia; Rodentia; Cricetidae. The record is from Rfam by way of RNAcentral.